This is a long non-coding RNA of Gopherus flavomarginatus (Mexican gopher tortoise), 1710 nucleotides long. RefSeq lists it as uncharacterized. The record is from RefSeq and is a predicted model, not a curated record. Lineage: Eukaryota; Metazoa; Chordata; Testudines; Testudinidae. The transcript has 2 exons.
GCACUACAGUAAUACAAACAAUUAAUGAUAAUUGAACUCAGUAUUAAUGAAAGCACAGUGUAUAAGCAUCACUGGAGCUCCUUUAUUUAGAGUACAGUACUGAAGGAAUUCUUCAAACCUGCAGUGCCAGCUGCAGCCUCACGGGGGUGCUGACUAGUUGAGUGAGCACUUCUCAGAUGGAAAUCACUAAGGCCUGGUCUACACUAGCCUGUUAUUUCAGAAUUAGCUGAGUUAAUUUGGGGAAAAAAAAAAAUGAUUCCGUCCACACGACCAAACCGUUUUUUUCGAUUUAAAAGGCUCUUUAAUCUGAUUCCUGUACUCCAACCGGCAAGUGGAGUAGCGCUUAAAUCGCGAUCGCAAUCCUGGGUUAAAGGUAUUGUGGACACAAUUUGACGUUAUUGGCCUCCAGGAACUAUCCCAGAAUGCUCCCUUGUGACUGCUCUGGACAACACUCUCAACUCCGAUGCACUAGCCAGGUGGGCAGGAAAAGCCCCAGGAACUUUUGAAUUUCAUUUCCUGUUUGGUCACCAUCAGCACACUCCACCAUCACAGGUGACCAUGCAGAGUCCACCAUCACAGGAGAUCACGCAGUCCUGGAUUCGCCGACGAGCUCCAGCAUGGUCCGAAUGGGAGGUACUGGAUCUCAUCACAUGUUGGGGAGACAAGUCUGUUGUGGCAGAACUACGUUCCAAAAAAAGGAAUGCAAAUACACACGCUAAAGUCUCCAGGGCCAUGACGGAAAGAGGCUACUCCAGGGACACAGAGCAGUGUCGUACAAAAAUCAAGGAGCUCAGGCAAGCGUACCAAAAAGCCAGGGAGGCGAAUGGCCAUCUGGGUCACAGCCCCAUACAUUCCGCUUCUACCGUGAGCUGCAUGCAAUUGUAGGGGGUGAUGCCACCACUACUCCACCACUGUCCAUGGACACCUGCAAGGGGGGAGUUAUACAGAGCGAGGAGGAAGAGUCGUUGGAGGAUGAAGAGGAGGAGGAGGACAGUGCACAGGCGGCAAGUGGGGAAUCCGCUUUCUCCCCUAGCCAGGAACUAUUCUGAACGCUGGAUCCAAUAGCCUCCCCCCACUCAGACUCCCAGACCAUGACCCUGGAGAAAAUACUUCUGGUGCAAAUGUUUCAACGCAGCCCCUAUCUAGUCCGUCCCAGAGGCUGGUCCAGAUUAGAAGGUGGAAAAAACGAACUUGGGAUGACAUUUUCGCCGAGCUCAUGCAGUCCUCCCGCACUGAUGGGGCCCGCUGAAUGCGUGGAGGCAAACAGUUAUGGAGUCCCGUAAAGCAUUACAGGAACAGGAAGAGCGGAGGGAGACGUGUGAUGAGAGCAGGCAGGACGCUAUGGUCAAGCUCAUAGGGGAGCAAACUGACAUGCUCCGCUGUAUGGUGGAUCUAAUGUGGGAAAGGCAGCAAGACCGCAGACUGCCGCUGCAGCCGCUGUAUAACCGCCCUCCCUCCUCCCCAAGUUCCAUAACCGCCUCACCCAGAUGCCCAGGAACAUGAGGGGGGAGGCUAUGGGGACCCACACACUCAACCCCAGAGGAUCGCCCAAGCAGCAGAAGGCUGGCAUAUGCGAACUUUUGAUUUGGUUUCUUAACUUGUCCUUCUCUCCUCCUCCACCCCCCUAACCCAACCCCCCUACCCCCAUUCUGCCUUCGGGUUUCUCUCAAUGUGCUGUGCAACAAAUAAUAAAGAACAGUUUUUAAACAA